This 259-nucleotide long non-coding RNA is filed under the name Hordeum vulgare. RNAcentral describes it as "long non-coding RNA (HVUL_LNC004869)". Lineage: Eukaryota; Viridiplantae; Streptophyta; Magnoliopsida; Poales; Poaceae. The record is from RNAcentral.
UCGCGCAUCUUGAUGCUGGCCUUGAUAUGGUCGAUCCUGUAAUGCAAGACCUCGACAGUCUUUUUAGCAAGUUGUAGUCUGCAUCUACUGCGAUUUGUCUUGUAUGGCAAUUUGUAUUGUAGAGAUGUAGUUACUCGUUAUCUUCUAAAAAUAAUAUCAUGGAACAUCAGAGACAGUAGGGAUUAAGAAAUGUUCCUUUCUUGAAGCCGCAAGGAAUGCACAUUUUUACUCGAGUCCCAGGGAAUUAAUUGGAAUAACU